UGCCCAACUCUAGCCCAAUCUUCCACGACUAAACAUACUUAAGAAUUUAUUCAACCUUUAGACUAAACCAUUUUUUCAACUCAGUAUAGGCGAUAGAAAGGACUAUAAGGCGCGAUAGAGGCUCGUACCGUAAGGGAAAGAUGAAAUAGCAAUGAACAAGCCAAGCAACAAACAGCAAAGAUAAACCCUUGUACCUUUUGCAUCAUGGUUUAGCAAGAACAACCAAGCAAAGCGAACUUAAGCUUGCCAUCCCGAAACCCAAGCGAGCUACUUGCAGGCAGCUAUCCUUGAGCGAACCCGUCUCUGUUGCAAAAGAGUGGGACGACCUGUCAGUAGUGGUGAAAAGCCAACCGAGCUGGGUGAUAGCUGGUUGCCUGUGAAACGAAUCUAAGUUCUACCUUGACACCUCCCCCAGGGACCUUCAACUGCCCUAUUGAAGCAAUCAAGAGUAAUUUAAAGGAGGUACAGCUCCUUUAAAAAAGAAUACAAUCUCCCCUAGCGGAUAACUUCUAACCCAACAAAAGUAACUGUAGGCCUUCAAGCAGCCACCAACAAAGAGUGCGUCAAAGCUCUGUUCACUAAAAAUCCCAAAACCACACGACUCCCUUCCUACCAACAGGCUAACCUAUGACAAUAGGAGAAUUAAUGCUAAAACGAGUAACUAGGGUGCACCCCUCUUAAGCGCAAGCUUACAUUCCCUCUAUUAUUAACAGACCACUAAUGCCCUUAUUUCAACAAGACCGCGCAUUUCACCUUCUGUUAACCCAACCCAGGAGCGCCUAUUAGAAAGAUUGAAAUCUGUAAAAGGAACUAGGCAAACUUCAAGGCCCGACUGUUUACCAAAAACAUAGCCUUCAGCCAAACCAAGUAUUGAAGGUGAUGCCUGCCCAGUGACUCCACGUUCAACGGCCGCGGUAUCCUAACCGUGCAAAGGUAGCGCAAUCAAUUGUCCCAUAAAUCGAGACUUGUAUGAAGGGCUAAACGAGGUCUUAACUGUCUCUUACAGAUAAUCAGUGAAACUGAUCUCCCUGUGCAAAAGCAGGGAUAAACACAUAAGACGAGAAGACCCUGUGGAACUUUAAAAUCAGCGGCCACUCCAAGACAAAGUUAAACCUACCAGGUUCACUGCCAUAAUAAAACGCUGGCUCGCAUUUUUCGGUUGGGGCGACCUUGGAGAAAAACAAAUCCUCCAAAAAUAAGACCACCCUCUCUUAACCAAGAGCAACCCCUCAACGUACUAAAAGUAACCAGACCCAAUAUAAUUGACCAAUGGACCAAGCUACCCCAGGGAUAACAGCGCAAUCCCCUCCAAGAGCCCAUAUCGACGAGGGGGUUUACGACCUCGAUGUUGGAUCAGGACAUCCUAAUGGUGCAGCUGCUAUUAAGGGUUCGUUUGUUCAACGAUUAACAGUCCUACGUGAUCUGAGUUCAGACCGGAGUGAUCCAGGUCGGUUUCUAUCUAUGACCCACUUUUCCUAGUACGAAAGGACCGGAAAAGUGAGGCCAAUGCUCCAGAGCAUGCCUCCCUCCCUAAGUAGUGCCUCCAACUGAACUACCAAGGGACCUCCAAUACGCCCAAUCCUAGAAAAGGACC
RNAcentral lists this ribosomal RNA (1594 nucleotides) under Caloenas nicobarica (Nicobar pigeon). RNAcentral describes it as "16S ribosomal RNA". It matches the Rfam family "Bacterial large subunit ribosomal RNA", at positions 264 to 2852 of the family's 2925-position model. The record is from RNAcentral. Lineage: Eukaryota; Metazoa; Chordata; Aves; Columbiformes; Columbidae.